AACGUAGGUCCCGAGCGUUAUCCGGAUUUACUGGGCGUAAAGCGCGUUCAGGCGGUUUGGCAAGUCGGGCAUGAAAUCUCUCGGCUCAACCGGGAGAGGUUGUCCGAUACUGCUGGACUUGAGGGCAGUAGAGGGUGGUGGAAUUCCGGGUGUAGUGGUGAAAUGCGUAGAUAUCCGGAGGAACACCAGUGGCGAAAGCGGCCACCUGGACUGUACCUGACGCUGACACGCGAAAGCUAGGGGAGCGAACGGG
Molecule: ribosomal RNA, 253 nt
Filed under: uncultured bacterium
Lineage: Bacteria
Description: partial 16S ribosomal RNA
Rfam family: Bacterial small subunit ribosomal RNA
Source: RNAcentral